AUUGAACGCUGGCGGCAGGCCUAACACAUGCAAGUCGGGCGGAUGAAGGGAGCUUGCUCCUGGAUUCAGCGGCGGACGGGUGAGUAAUGCCUAGGAAUCUGCCUGGUAGUGGGGAUAACGUCCGGAAACGGGCGCUAAUACCGCAUACGUCCUGAAGGAGAAAGUGGGGGAUCUUCGGACCUCACGCUAUCAGAUGAGCCUAGGUCGGAUUAGCCAGUUGGUGGGGUAAAGGCCUACCAAGGCGACGAUCCGUAACUGGUCUGAGAGGAUGAUCAGUCACACUGGAACUGAGACACGGUCCAGACUCCUACGGGAGGCAGCAGUGGGGAAUAUUGGACAAUGGGCGAAAGCCUGAUCCAGCCAUGCCGCGUGUGUGAAGAAGGUCUUCGGAUUGUAAAGCACUUUAAGUUGGGAGGAAGGGCAGUAAGUUAAUACCUUGCUGUUUUGACGUUACCAACAGAAUAAGCACCGGCUAACUUCGUG
RNAcentral lists this ribosomal RNA (483 nucleotides) under uncultured bacterium. RNAcentral's name for it is "partial 16S ribosomal RNA". It matches the Rfam family "Bacterial small subunit ribosomal RNA", at positions 30 to 507 of the family's 1533-position model. The record is from RNAcentral.